RNAcentral lists this ribosomal RNA (549 nucleotides) under uncultured Glomus. RNAcentral describes it as "SSU rRNA". It matches the Rfam family "Eukaryotic small subunit ribosomal RNA", at positions 548 to 1098 of the family's 1831-position model. The record is from RNAcentral. Lineage: Eukaryota; Fungi; Glomeromycota; Glomeromycetes; Glomerales; Glomeraceae.
UUGGAGGGCAAGUCUGGUGCCAGCAGCCGCGGUNAUNCCNGNUCNNUAGCGUAUAUUAAAGUUGNUGCAGNUAAAAAGCUCGUAGUUGAAUUUCGGGAUCAAUAUUUCGGUCAUGCCGUUGGUAUGCACUGUUAUCAUUGAUUUCUCACCUUCUAAAGAACCGUAAUGCCAUUAAUUUGGUGUUACGGGGAAUUAGGACUGUUACCUUGAAAAAAUUAGAGUGUUUAAAGCAGGCUCACGCUUGAAUACAUUAGCAUGGAAUAAUGAAAUAGGACAUCCGAUUCUAUUUUGUUGGUUUCUAGGAUCGAUGUAAUGAUUAAUAGGGAUAGUUGGGGGCAUUAGUAUUCAAUUGUCAGAGGUGAAAUUCUUGGAUUUAUUGAAGACUAACUACUGCGAAAGCAUUUGCCAAGGAUGUUUUCAUUAAUCAAGAACGAAAGUUAGGGGAUCGAAGACGAUCAGAUACCGUCGUAGUCUUAACCAUAAACUAUGCCGACUAGGGAUCGGAUGAUGUUAAUUUUUUAAUGACUCAUUCGGCGCCUUNCGGGAAAC